Molecule: small RNA, 559 nt
Filed under: Pan troglodytes (chimpanzee)
Lineage: Eukaryota; Metazoa; Chordata; Mammalia; Primates; Hominidae
Description: processed transcript
Source: RNAcentral
CUGCUGUAAGAUGAGCUCAGCGCGGCUGUGCAGGGCUCGGCUGGGGGUGCUUCUCUUCCCUGUCUUUCAGUGGCCCCCAGCCUGCCUGUGCCCCAGCACUUGGCCCUACCUGUUGUGCGGACCUCGGGGGACACCCAGAGGUUGUUCUUAGACUCCUUUAGGAAAACUCAGCAUCACAGGGAACUGCAGUUCCCGGAGCCAGUGCGCACGUAGAGGUGCCGUGAGCCUGAGCCUGACAUUGGCCGACGGGGAGAGGGGAUUCAGCACCUUCUGAGGAGUUGACCAGGCACCGGCUGUUGGAUGGGAUCACCAGAAGCUGGAGAGAGAGGCUCGGAUCUGCCGCCUUCUGAAGCAUUCCAACAUCGUGCGUCUCCACGACAGCAUCUCCGAGGAGGGCUUCCACUACCUGGUCUUCGAUCUGGUCACUGGUGGGGAGCUCUUUGAAGACAUUGUGGCGAGAGAGUACUACAGCGAGGCUGAUGCCAGUCACUGUAUCCAGCAGAUCCUGGAGGCCGUUCUCCAUUGUCACCAAAUGGGGGUCGUCCACAGAGACCUCAAG